RNAcentral lists this transfer RNA (72 nucleotides) under Bos indicus x Bos taurus (hybrid cattle). It matches the Rfam family "tRNA". Rfam says of the family: Transfer RNA (tRNA) molecules are approximately 80 nucleotides in length. Their secondary structure includes four short double-helical elements and three loops (D, anti-codon, and T loops). Lineage: Eukaryota; Metazoa; Chordata; Mammalia; Artiodactyla; Bovidae. The record is from Rfam by way of RNAcentral.
UCCCUGGUGGCUCAGAUGAUAAAGUGCCCACCUGCAAUGCGGGAGACCCAGGUUUGAUCCCUGGGUUGGGAA